RNAcentral lists this unclassified non-coding RNA (1830 nucleotides) under Leishmania donovani. RNAcentral's name for it is "gene:LdHU3.36.1150(CDS-product:ADP-ribosylation_f actor-like_protein)". Lineage: Eukaryota; Euglenozoa; Kinetoplastea; Trypanosomatida; Trypanosomatidae. The record is from RNAcentral.
CCACCUUAGAGAGGCUGCGUCCUCCAUAAUCGACUGAGCGCACCCACGAUUGACCAUUUUUCGUUCUGUCAUCUGCACUACUGCUAUCGCUGCCACUAAAAAGAAGAGGAAGCGAGACGCACACUUGCUUCCUUGGCGCGAUCCCACGCCUGCCUCGCGUGUGUGUGUGUGUGUGCCGCACCUUUGCUUUACAGCACGAAACUCAACACCAUAGACACCUCUCUUUACACCCACACGUCAGCAAUCAUGUCGAAAGACGACGCGAGCAUUGCCUAUGCCAAGAAGCACAAAAUCCACCAUCUGUUCGAGCUCAUGGCGACCAAGGUGUUGCUGAACCGUCCCGAGAACCCCUUUGCGUACCUUCGCAACCUCCUCAAGGACGUGGAGGAGUCCGAGAAGAACAGGGUCCCGUACGAUCCUACGCAGGUCCACUUCAACAACGACGUCGGUGCCGCAGCACCUGCGGCAGGAAGCAGCGGCGGCAGUGCCGCGGCGGCUCCAGCAGCGGCGCUGACCUCCGCGAAGAAGGAAAAGAGAACCGUGACGCUAGCCACCUUCGGUCUCGACCGGGCAGGCAAGACGUGCGCCCUUUCCGUGUUGGAGAGCGGCGAGGCGGACAAGAAGUACACCCCGACCGUCGGCUUUGCCCCGAUCAAGUUCCCGCUGGACGACUACAACUUGUGCGUCUUUGACCUCGGCGGGGCCGCCAACUUCCGCGGCAUUUGGGUGCACUACUACCACGACUGCUUCGGUAUCGUGUAUGUCAUCGACUCAGCGGCCAGCGAUGAGCGGGUGGCCGAGUCGCUCAAGGUGCUGCACGAGACGCUCCAGCACCCGUAUGUGAAAGGGAAACCGCUCUUGGUGCUCGCAAACAAGAAGGACUUGCCGGAAAGCCGCGGAGUGGGGGUGGUCCCCCAGGGCUUUCUCGAGGAGGCGAUGGGGGAAUCGGGUGCGCCGCACCGCGUGCUGGCGACGUGUGCCAUAGAAGAUGACCCGGCCUUGGUGGAGGGUAUUGAGUGGCUGCUGGAGGCUGUGUCGAAGGAGUACGACGCACUGGCGAAGCGGGUGGCGAAGGACAGCAACGAGGUGAAGAACGAAAAGGCUCGCCAACGGGCUGCCAGGCUGGCUGCAAUUCGCGGCGAGGACAAGUGAAGAAUGCCUGGGCCCGGGGAAUGGUUCUACGGUGGUCUUCCCGAGACCUGCUGCUGACUCCUUGCCGUCGUCACCGUUGGUUCUUGCUUGUUUUCGCUGCACGAAUCAUGGAAGCAGUGUGCCUCCGUGUUGGGGUCUGUGUGUGCAUGCGUGUCUGUUUGCACAUCCCUCUGUUUGACGGUUAACGAUAGAUAUGUACGAGUGCGAGCGUCGCUUGGGCCUGGUCGCUUUUUUUUUGUUUUCGCUUGUCUGCCGGUGUUGUUGUCCUGCUCUCUCUUUCCCCACUGGGUGGAACGAGGGGGGCUCCCUUGUUAUCCCUGAUUUUGUCGCGUUGCCUGCCAGUGACAACGGCAGGUGCGCGAAUGCUGUUGUGUGCUAACCGUUCUCCUGCAUAGCCAUAGCGUCUCCCCGUUCCUGAGACGCCCCCGUCCAGCCUGUGUGAGGUACGGUUCCCGCUGCGGUCGCGGCUCAAUUGACGGCAACGAGGGCAUGGGUGCCUCUUCCCACAAAGAGGUGCGUGAUUGCAUGUGCUUUUCUCCUUCCAUUUGUCGGCAAACCGGAUGCCUUUCGGAGUCUGCCUCCGCCCCAGUCAUGCAACGGGGGCUGUGCGGGAGGGGGGAGAUUCAGGUGACAUGGAAGGCAUGUCGAAGCCAGCGGGAUUUUUCAACAAAAGAAAAA